This 252-nucleotide ribosomal RNA is filed under the name uncultured bacterium. RNAcentral describes it as "partial 16S ribosomal RNA". It matches the Rfam family "Bacterial small subunit ribosomal RNA", at positions 524 to 776 of the family's 1533-position model. The record is from RNAcentral.
GACGGAGGGUGCAAGCGUUGUCCGGAUUUAUUGGGCGUAAAACGUCUGUAGGCGGUUUAUUAAGUUCGAGGUUAAAUGGCUAGGCUCAACCAAGUCAUGCCUUGAAUACUGAUAGACUAGAGUAUGUCAGGGGUUAGUGGAAUUCCCGGUGUAGUGGUGAAAUACGUAGAUAUCGGGAGGAACUCCAGUGGCGAAAGCGACUAACUGGGGCAUAACUGACGCUGAGAGACGAAAGCGUGGGGAGCGAAAAGG